ACUUUAUCUACCUCUGACAAAGCCCACCUGAGCAGAGUAAAUACUAGGUGGAAGGAUGGAUACUAAUCUGUUUGCGAACAGUUUAGGAAAAUUAUUUGCAUCAGAUUGUUUUUUUUUUUUUCAUUCUUUAUUUUGUCGUGCAUAUAGAAUACAUAGAUAUGAGCAAUGCCAGAAGAGCUAUUACCCGCCAAGUGAUCGACAUGUAGACAGUUGUAUGGCAUCUAAUAACACUGCACAUUUUAUAAUAUAUUGUGUGCCAGACUAUGCAUAACAUGGGUAAACAGUAACUUGAACGUGGUUUACAGACCUGCAUAACUUUUGGGUCAACAAGUUGGUAGAGGUCAGGUUAGUACUGUGGGUGCCCUUCUGCUCGUGCGGGUUAAGAGAGCAAGCCUGUGCCAAACCCAUUGCAGAAAAAGUGCCACAGUGGGUCGCCCCAAGAAACUGGCUGUUAGAAUCCUAUAGCAAAUUUGAGUAAUAACCACUACUAUGAAAAGCUAUGGGUCCAUGUUUAUCAUACAUGUUAGGCAGGUUAUGAGUUAACUUUUAUAUAUGAGUAGGAGUACAUAGGCCAGCACUUACAGUGCAUGCUAGACAGAUCAAAAGGGCUACAUUUGGGUCUGAAUAUGCUGAAAACAUUAGUGCAGUGCAGGCAUGGUAAUUUCUUGAGGCGUUAUUGCAUUAUUAUUUAAAAUGAGUUAAUGGCAUUAGCUUACUAGGUAUGGCUUGAACUCUAAGGCAUACAGGGCAACGAAGGCAAUGCAUAAAACAGGGUAAAAGUGGUAAUCUAGUCCAAGUGUGUAUAUUCAAUAUUCUGUAGGGGACAGAAGAGUAAUCAAACUUUAAGUUGCCUGUGUGUGCCAGGAGGACACCGGGUGGUGUGGUUACCGCAGGCUUUGCAUGCUUGUUGAGUGUCCUUGUGGGCUGCCUAGCCGAUGCCCCGCUCUGGGAGGUUGCAGGUACAUGUUUGCCAGAGUCCAGCGAGCUGUAUGUGUGGGGUUCUCCAAUACUGGGUUCCGGUGUACUGCUGUGAGCCUGUUGCAUCCGUUCUGCGGUAGAGUGUUGCUGAGGCUCGGGGUCUCCUUGUGUAGCGUGGUCUCCCAGGUUGCUUGGUGUUCUAUGGGAUGGGAGGUUCACUUGGAGGGGGUAUUCUCUGGAGGUGUCGCUGCAUAGGUGUAGGGCGGCAUACCACUGAUCCGAUUUUGCGGUGUCGGGGUUGUCGUUGGUUCCCCGCCUUCUCCCCCCGCUACUCGAGCCGCUCCACGUCCCCAUCCAGGAGCUGCUGGCUGCUGUGUGAGGUUCUGUGGGAUCUUUGCAGGUGGUUCCGUCUCACGGAUUCUCCGGCAAGAGGCAAGAUUGGCCCAGAAGUCGUUUAGUAAGCGAUCAAGCCUCUCCGAUAGAGGGGGCAGCGGGAAACUGGGUGUAGAGUUGUGUGUGGUGUCCGCCAUGCUGUGCCCCGCUCGUUCAGCAAUGCUGGUAUAGCAACAUGAGGCGUCCGCCAUUUUGUGGACUUUAGAGGCUUCCUCCGAACUUAGUGCUUGUUCCCCUCGGGGGCAGCUUGACCAGGUGCUCAAGUGGGGCCGGCCUGGGAUAACCCCUGCCGGGGCCAUGGAGGGGGGAACAAGGGCUCCCUGUCGGGUGUCCUGUCAUUUUUAACAGCAGGAGAGCGUCCAUCUCACCCGCGUGUGCCAUGUUAAGAGGUUGUUAAAGGGUGUCGAGUGUGUGUCGCUUGUCAGGUAUCUGUGCGUACUCCCCGAUGUACCCUUGCUCCGGGUGGCCUUAGUUUCUUGUUUUUUCUCUGUGUUUGCGAUUUAUGUCGCUUAAUAUGGUCCCUUCAAACAGAGCUGUUGAGGCAAGCAUCCUCUCUGCUCCACGAUCAGGCCCCGCCUCUCUGCAUCAGAUUUUAAUAAGGAUAUUGAUCUAAAGUUUGAGCGAGGAUGGAAGAGAACCGUUUGCAAUAUAGUUUUGUGAAGCCUUUCCGCUCGGGCGCAUUGUGAGAUGGUAGAAAUGUUAUGAUUUGUUCAAUUUCUGCUAAUGUGAUUGGGGCUCACGUUGUGCCUAUGAUAAGCUAGGUAAGGUGGUACGUGAUAGAAAUGUAUCUAUUUCUUUUGUGGUUGGUUGGUGUAUGUUUCUAUGUAUGGAUGAAUCCCUAUUUCAAUUAUAUAGUGUACCAUAACAUUUGGCAAACAUGUUACAGAUGUUACAGAUGGUUUUGUGAUUUUCUGUUCUGUAUCAGAAAUCAAGUAGUGUAUUUUGAUCUGUGAAUUCCUCUCACGUGGUGUGAUUGAGAGAAGUUAGUACAUUGUGUUGAUUUGCCUAUAAUAUUUCAUUUUUAGCUUAUGAAACAUGUAAGUUGUUUUGGAACUAUUUUAUUUUAUUUGUUUUGUUUAGUUUUUAAACAGGCUUUUUGUCCAGCUAGGGUAUCAGAAGGUGAGAGAAAGUGAGCAAUGGAAGUGUCACACAAUGUUCUUAAGCAUUUGAACAUUCAGAGUUGGCUUGUUCUUUUUAGGUAUGUAGCUUCUGCUCUUCAAUAGCCCUCUUAUAACAGCUUUAUGAGCUUGCCAUAUGUAGGUUUGCUUUGUAUUUGGAAUGUCAUUAAGUUGGAAGAAUGAUUUCAAUUCUUUAUGUAUUAUGGUGGUAAAAGUUCUUUCAUUCAGUAACGUGUCAUUGAGUCUCUAUUGUCUACAUAGUCUAAAUUUGAAUUGAUCUUUUAAUGUGAAUAGCAAUACCUCCUAAUGAGCAAUUACAUGCUAAGUCAUUGAAUGAGCUUGAAAGGAAACAGAUGUCUAUCCUAGAAUUUAAAUGGUGGGCCGACGAAUAGUAAGAGGAUGAUUUCUUUGCAGCGUGCAGAGUGCUCCAAAUGUCAUAAUAUGCUUAUUCUAUUAGGAGUUUAACUAAUGCUUUGUAAUGGACUUUAAUGAUUUAGAUUUGUCUAAAACCGUGUCUAAUAUAUGGUUAAUUUCUCUGCAGAUUAUUGUAACUCCCUUCUGCUCCGCAGGAACUUUGGUGAAACUUUAUGUAGAAUAUUACGCUGAUGGGUACUGGGGUCAUACAUAGUAACUAAUGUGUUAAGGGAAUUUUGAGAAAACAGACUAAGAUUAUUAUUAUUAUUACUAUGUUUAUUUAUGAAGCGCCAACAAGUUCCAUAGUGCUGUACAAUGGGUAGACUAACAGACACGUAUUUGUAACCAGACAAGUUUGAACAGAGGGAUUAUAGCCCCUGCCCAAUGAGCUUACAUGCUAGAGGGAGUGAGUAUAGUGACACAAAAGGUAAGGGUAGGGUAAGAUGAAAAAUAUACCAUGAGGAUUUUUUUUUUUUAAUAAUUUGAAUGCCACUCCUCUUGUCUUGAAUAUACUCAUCUUGACUUGGUAAUAUAGGGGAAGUGGUGUUGAACAGGGUAAAAAUCGACCUAAGUUGGGGAAUUUUAGUACUUGUAGGUAAAGAAUAUCCACUGCUGCUUUCUGGGCAUCUCUAAGUAAAGUGUCUUUUUAAGUGUUGAUGGUCCUUUAUUAUGUUAUGUGAGUUAUUCAUUUUGCCAUAUUUAUCCACGAGCGGGUGCCUUGUGUUGUUACUUAUUUGUGAGUAUAUCAUAUGUUUUUGUCUGGUCUAGUUUAGUCUCGUUAACGUUUUACAGGUAAAAAUGAGCUGUGAACAUGUCACACACACAUCUAUUUGAACAUAUUACAGGUUGUAUGUGAGGCAACAUAGCAAUCAUGUAGAGGAGCUUCUAAUUAACCUAAGUGUCUUGAAAUGUAUCAUAUUGUGUAGGUAAGAGCCAGAAAGAGGAAAAUAGCAAAGUAAAACUACUUUAAAACUUGCAAAACAAAGUAUAUACAAAUAAUUCACGAAUGGAUUAUUAUGUUGGUCUCAUGUACCAGAAUGGGCAUAGUGAAGAGACAGUUCUAUCCCACACAUUGGUGGGCUGGCUAUGAUAUGUAUAAUCAACAGUAAUGCCUACACAGCAGAGAGGGAUUCAAGUAGGUUCAUUCAGCAAGUGAAUAGAAGCAGUCCCAGAACAAAACACUAAGGGACACCACUUAGCACUUUUGCCCAUCUUGAAAAUUGUACUUUAAUUAAACCUUUUUGUACUCUAUCUAUGAUCUACACACAGAUUUUCAUCUAUACCAGGGGUUCCCAAUGAAUUUUUUCAGUGUAACCCUUUGACAUAAUGUGCUGAUAACAUAAUGUGCCGUAGAGCAGAUAGUAAACAGAUAGUAGUACUUAGGAGCAGGUGUGCUUUUGUGUGUACAGUUGUUGUUUGUAUAUAAUGUUAGGGUUUUGAUACAGGGGUGUAUUUGUACUCAGAUACACACAGUGACACAUACACAAACCUUGACACACAGAUACACACACUGACACAAACUCAGACACACAUACACUCUCACUGACUAAAUGGCUGCUGGGCUGAGUGGCUGGCAUGCAGGCAUAUAGUGUGGGAGAUGAGAGAGCAGUGAUCUUCCUGCUCAGCUCCCUCGCGCUCCUCUUAAUGAUGCCGGGCCGGAGUAACGUCAUGUUCCAGUUCUGGCAUCACGACGGGGCACGUGAGGGAGCCAAGCAAAGGAGUGUGCCCCCUCGUCGCCGGCCUCAAUUAUCAGCGGCACCGACCAGGCCAAAUCACGGCGGCCAUUUUUUUGCUGAAUCCCAUUUGUGUUCUCGCGUAACCCCAAGGUUCAGUGGAACACCAAUUGGGAAACGCUGAUCUAUACCAAUUUCUUUUAAUUUGAAAAUUAUUCUAUUGUGUGGAACUGUGCCUUGGUAAACACUACUUUAGUACUUUCCUGUCCUUGGGGCGUAGUUUACAUUAAAGGACCACUAUAGUGCCAGGAAAACAAACUUGUUUUCCUGGCACUAUAGUGCCCUGAGGGUGCCCCCAUCCUCAGGGUCCCACUCCUGCCGGACUGAAGGGGGAGGAAGGGGUUAAUCCCUUACCUUUUCUCCAGCGCCGGGCUCCCUCGGCGCUGGGACUGUCCUCCCUCUUCUGACGUCCCUAGCUGAAUGCGCAUGUGCGACAAAAGCCACGCGCGCAUUCAGCCAGUUCAUAGGAAAGCAUUCUCAAUGCUUUCCUAUGGGCGCUGGCGUCUUCUCACUGUGAAAAUCACAGUAUGAAGCGUGGAAGCGUAUGUGAGUGUAUGUCAAUGAGACAGCCACUAGAGGCUGGAUUAAUCCAUAGCAGUUAAUUCUCUGAAACUGCUAUGUUUACAGCAAAAAGGGUUAAACCUAGCUGGACCUGGCACCCAGACUAUUUCAUUAAGCUGAAAUGGUCUGGGUGCCUAUAGUGGUCCUUUAACUUUCUUUAGUUGUUGAGUAAUGCAAUCAUAAUUUACCUGCAUUUUUUUUUUCAUUUUCCUUUAGGUUCCAUCUUGUAUAUACUGAUUAAAAAUAAUUAUUUAAAAUGUCUGCCUUCUCUUACUGAUCUUCAUUUACUAACAUAUCCCUCUCUGAUUUCUGUUAACCUACACUUUUUUUUUAAUUUUAAAAUUUUUUUAUUUAUGUACUUUUUUGGGUUGAUUGCUUUCUUUGGCUAUCACUUUCUCAUUUUCUAGUUUAUUUUAUCUAAUUUCCUUUUUACAUGCAUUAUCGGCUUCCUUAUAUUUUAUACAGGAUGCCUCCGAUUUGUCUGAUUUAAAUGUGUUAACCCCUUAAGUACUGAGCCAGUUGUACACGUUGUGAUCAAAACAAAAUGUAAACAAAAACUGGAAUCUGCGCUAUAUGUCUGUUCAACAGUAAUUCACCUUUUUCAUAUUAAGUGCACCCACACUUAUUAUAUAUAAUGUUGUUCAGGAGAAACAGGGCUUUCAUUUCACAUGAACUACUUGUUAAAAAAUGUCCCAAUUUUUUUUUUACAUUAUUUUAGUUCUGCGUAACAUUUUAACUGUGAAUGUCAUCAUACUGUUAGGUUUUACUGCAAUAAAAUGCACAUAUUUGUAUUCAUCAAAGUCUCACAAGUACAACAGUACCCCCAUGUGCAGGUUUUUUGGUGUUUUGGAAAAUUACAGGGUCAAAUAAAGCACGUUUCAUUUUUCAGUUUAUACACAUUGAAAUUUGCCAGGCUGAUUAUGUUGCCUUUGAGACUGUAUUGUAGCCCAGGAAUGAGAAUUACCCCCAUGAUGGUAUACCAUUUGCAAAGACAAAAAGACAAUAUGGGGUAUGUCCAGUCUUUUUUAGUAAUGACUUAGUCACAAACAGUGGCCAAAGUAAGCAUUUAUAUCUGUGUGUUAAAAAUGUGCAAUACCGGGGGGCGUGGUCUGACUGUCGAUGAGACCAGACGUAUUCUACUAGAGCUCCGUUCCACCGGCGCCUAAAGCUACAAAAGCGACCUUAAAUUGCAGCAUUUUCUACCCUCAUAUACCCUAUCAUGGAUAGGAGACCCCCCAAGAAGCAGCCCAAGAGGACCACGGAGUCCGGGGGCUCCGUUUUGGACCUUCUUACAGCAUCUCGGCACAGCCGCGCCGACAGCCAAGAUGGCGACGGGGGCUCCCCACACGCAUCGCCUGGCGCGGAUAGAGAGGCACUCUCUGCGGAACAGAACACUGUUCUAGCAAAACUGGCAGAAGUCAGAUCUUUCCUUGCGGGGGAGAUCGCCAAAUCAACGGCGGUACUACAGGCGGAUAUUUGCGCUCUGGAGGAGCGUACUGCUAAAUUGGAGGAACGCAUGGAAGCGACAACUCAGGCCCACAAUGAAGUUGCCGAUAGAGUAAAUUGCAUGACGGCUCACGUUAUUGAUAUGGACCUGGCUCUGGAAGACAUGGCCAAUCGUUCUAGGAGGAAUAACAUUCGCCUGAGAGGCUUACCAGAAGGGCCAGAUGAAGACUUACAAGUGCUGUUAAUGUCGAUCUUCCAGCCUCUCCUCCCACACAUUUCGGAGGAACAUUGGCAUAUGGAGAGAGCCCAUAGGGCGCUAAAGGCGCAAAGAGCGGAGGCCAACACCCCGAGGGACGUCAUUAUAAACUUUCUAUACUACAAAACCAAAGAGGCUUUGAUGAAGAAGGGUAGAGCUGGUCCUAUCCGACAUGAUGGAGCCCUUAUUUCAUUCUACCAAGAUCUGGCCCCUUCGACGCUACAGAGGAGAAGGGACUGGCGGCCCAUUACUGGGGCUCUGAGAGGGGCUGGCCUGAAAUAUGCCUGGGGCUUCCCCUUUAAAUUGAUGGUCUUCCGUGACGGCCGUGCGCACAUCCUGUCGCCGGGGGGAGACCCGAAGCGCCUGUUCCAUGGCCUGGGGCUCCAGCCUCCCCCGGAUCUGCCUAACUUUGCGAUGGGACCGGAGGAGCUGCCACAGAUACAAGCGGAGUGGCGCGGAGUGGGACCUAGAAGCCAACGCUGAACCUAGCGGUAUCGUAUACUCCUCUUAUACCAGCAAGAGAUAUUAUUAUUGUUUUUUCCCUUGUUGCGGGCAACCGAGACUUCCUUUUUUGUUGGGCGGGGGAUGGGGCAGGGGGACUCAGAAGCGCACGUUGCGCUUGGGCCUUACCUCUGAGUUGGCUGCUUGUGACUGUUUUUGCCAGGGAGAUCGGGGCCACCUGUUUUUUGACCCCCGGUUGACCCUUGUUUAUACUACAGGUGUUUCCUGCGACGAUAAGGGCUGCGUUGGGGUACCCCCCCUCCCCCGGGUGCAGAUGCUGAGGCUACUCCCCCCAGACUUGGACCACAGCACCACUGCACCUCACGUGUAUGAUUUUUAUUGUUGUUUUUCACUCUGGGUCGGUGUGGGGGAAGAAGAUCGAACAUGGGACUUUAAAAAUCCGGAUUAUAUAAUGUAGACUGUGUGUGCUAGUGCCCCAUUGAUGUCACUGUCCGGGUACAUUUAUGCAGCUCGGGGCCCGCAGGGCAAGUCGCCCGUAUGUCCUCUCCGUGGGCGGUAUCCCCCUCUUAGUGUUUUUGUCCCGUGUUUCUGUUUGAUUACUGUCCAGUGCCCCGAGACCUUCCCCCUAAACGGGAAGAUAAGUUUUAAUUUACGACAAAACACAAAAGCAAAAAGAAAAAUUAUAAAAAAAAAAAAAGGUUUAGGAAGGGGUGGGUUUGGUGGGCACUGUAUGUGUAAAUCGCAGGUGUUUGGUAAUAAUGGGGUUAGUGGGUGAAAUCUGGUAAUGCAUUGUUUAGGUUCAUUUUAUGGCGGUGUAGUUGUAGAUGCAUAGGUUGGAAUGAUAGAGCCGUCCGCUUUAACUGCGGAUACCGUUAUCUUAGGGAUCUCCCUUUUUAAUGAUGAAGGGUCCCAAACAAUAUGCAUAUGGAGUGGAGGUCCUGGCGGGAAUGGGGGUGUAAGGGGCGAUAUGGGGGUGUGGUUGGACAGUGAAUGGAAAUUCCCCCCCCGCAACACAAUACGGUGAUUUGGAUAAUGAAGGGUAGGGCAUAAUGUGAGUCGACCACUGAAGUCAGGAAACAACAAGGGAUAGCAUUCCAAACCUGGUGAAGCCUUAUUUAGUUUUACCGCUGAAAUGGAGCUGGUAUACUUAAUCACGUAACAGUGCGCCUGACCUGUGCACCAGUAUGUAUAGCUACUCUCCCCCCUCGGGCUGUUGGCCCCAACUUAUGGCUUACGACGGUGGGCCUGGCCCCAGGCGUUCGCGGACCCGCUUGGCGUUCCUUUGAUGGGCGGGGUGGGCCGCGUUUGCCUGGGGACGGCUACUAUAGCUGGGAUUUCAUGGGGGCCGCUGCCUCCUGUGCGGCUGCUUGCCCCCUCCGGCCGGCCCUGUACUGGUUCCGGGGGAUCGGCCGGGGGGGCGACCGUCCGGUCGGGUGGGCAGUGGUUCCUGGUGUGAGGGGAAGGGGUCCACUCGCUCCAGCAGGUGGGGGGAAGGUGCCAUGACGGUAAAUGUACAUAUUUCUUUUUUGUCAGUUCCCUAUCUAGUUUUUAAGUUUUUUGGGGUAAUAAUUAUAGAUAAGUAUGCCAGACCACGGUGGCCCCAGACUUGAUUGCACACACAUUCACCGUGAGGUCUCCCCUGGUAUGCUUGAUGAUAGAGGGCCGCGGAAAUUACGAGCUCAAGGUCACCAUACUAGCACCUCAUGCUGAUCAUUAGGAGAAUACCUGUCCAUGACGCUAUUGAAUUUGGAGGGGAGGCAGAAUAUCUACCACACCAAGGGGUCAGUGGCGGGCGGGGACUGACACAGAGUUCCCCGAGUGGAGCCGGCCCGGGGGCGGAGGGGGCAAGGAAUGCCAGUGGGUUAUAUUUGACAAGCGAAAGGUUUUUUGAUGUAAAGGUCCAAGUAUCUUACAAUUGGCGCCUAAUUGGUAGGAGCUCAGUAACCCGCUGUUCCUCCCAACGUUGAUCGUGGCAGGGAAACAGGACCACGUUCCCCAAAAUAUUCUGGCGGAUGGUAAGACCAGAAUUUCAGUGCAUCGGACUGUGUCCAGGUGCAGUUUUUCUUACUAUUCUGUAUUCUAUUCCCUCUUUUCUUUUCUUCUAUCCCCUUUUUCUCUUUCCAGGGGGGGCUGCGGGGUCGGGGGGCUGGCAGAGGGCUUGCUUCAGGGACCCGAUAGAGAGUCUGAGAGGACAAAGUCCGUGAGAUCAUUAAACAGAGCCUUAAUUGACUCGCCUGAUGGAGAUUAAAAUCAUAUCCCUGAAUGUUAAGGGUUUAAACGCUCCUAAGAAGCGUAGACUCCUAUUGCGGGAACUAAAAAGAAUGAACUCGGACAUUGCUUUUGUCCAAGAGACCCAUUUGCCAGCACAGGCUAAGUUUAGGUUGAAAGAUCACGCGUAUGCAGGCUCUUUUGAAGCCAGGUCCCAUUGCAAACGAAAUGGCGUAGCGAUUCUCAUUAGAAGUAGCUGCCCCUUCCGUCAAACUCAUUUUGAAGUAGACCCGGAAGGUCGAAUGGUUAUCGUCUCAGGCGUUUUACAUUCACAUACGGUCCAUUUGAUUAACAUCUACGCGCCGAACCAGCCAGACCCAUUGUUUUGGGUGGUGCUUAAGGAGAAAAUUAGGGGGUUGCCCCAUGGAAUGAUAUUUUUAGGGGGCGAUUUCAAUGCGGCCCCGUGCCCGGCGGUGGACAGGAGCUCGCGGUUGGGUGCUCCUAGGUCACAGGGUAGGGGGGGACAAGACCGUCUGCUUAAAGAUUUUAUAGCCGCCACAGGACUCGUAGACAUCUGGAGAGCCCACCACCCAGGUGAUAAGGACUACUCUUUUUACUCAGCUCCCCACGGAACGUACUCAAGGAUAGACCUCUUCUUGACUAACGCAGCAGGCAUGUCCCGAACUGUAGGAUCCCGGGUAGGCAACAUCCCAUGGUCGGAUCAUGCUGAUAUCUCCAUCACGCUGGGUAACUUAUGUAUCGCCUCACCAUGGACGUGGAAAUUGAACACGUCCCUACUUCAAGACCCAGAGAUACUGGAGCAAGUCAGGAGAGGAAUCACGGAAUAUUUUGAAUGGAAUACCACCCCCGAGGUGAACGCAUGCACGAUUUGGGUGGCCCACAAGGUAGUUAUCAGAGGGACCUUGAUCAAGCUGGCCACCAGAAAAAAGAAAUUGAAAUACCAACAGCUGGAGAAGUUGCUGGGGAACCUGAGAUCCUUGGAACAAAGACAUCAAGCGGUGCCGACAGAGGACACCCUCAGGCAAUUGGGAGCAGUAAGACGGGACGUUCGCACUUUAUUAUUAGAUGAUGCGGCUAGGGCUAUGACCUGGUCAAAACGGACUUUUUUCGAGAAGGCGAACAAAAUGGACACCCUAUUAGCUAGAACGCUUAGACCGAGGCAAGAGAGAUCCCACAUAACGGUGCUCAAACACUCAGACGGUACGAAGAGAACAAGACCAGUUGAGAUAGCUGAGAUUUUUGAGGAUUUUUACAAAAGAUUAUACAACCACACCCCGGACGGAAGCCCUCACGGAGACCAUGAAGAAGAGUGUAUUUUGCAAUAUCUAGACAAGCAGGGGAUGACUAGAUUGACUGGGGAGGCGACACACACGCUGGCGGCGGAUAUUUCGGAAGAGGACGUGGACAAAGCUAUCUCGAGCUUGAAAGGCAAUAAAGCACCGGGGCCAGACGGGUUCGAUGGUUCAUAUUACAAAACCUUUAGAAAAGAGCUAACGCCACAUUUAGUCCAACUAUUCGAUAGCCUACGGCAGGGUAGACAUUUGGACCCAGACAUGUCAUUGGCGACCAUAGUGCUCUUGCCCAAGCCCGGGAAGGAUCCAUUAUAUCCUGAAAACUAUAGGCCCAUUUCGCUGAUCAACCAUGAUCUGAAAAUAUUAGCGAAAAUACUGGCCGAUAGGUUGAACCCUUUGCUGAAUUCUCUCAUCAAUGCAGAUCAAGUCGGUUUCAUCAGGAGUAGACAAUUAUUCGAAAACACUAGACGGAAUAUUGAUUUGAUAUGGAGGCAGGUGGCAUUGGGGACCCCUACAUUAGUAGUCUCCAUUGAUGCAGAGAAAGCUUUCGAUAGAGUCCGGUGGCAAUUUCUGUUCCCAGUUUUAAAGAACAUGGGCUUCCCAGAAGAAUUCCUAACAAUGACGAGAGCAAUGUAUCACAACGUACGGGCACAAGUGCAGAUAUCGGGGGCCCCACUACAUCCCUUCCAGCUGCAUAACGGAACAAGACAGGGAUGCCCACUUUCUCCCCUUCUUUUCGUUUUGGCCCUGGAGCCCUUACUCCAGGCAGUCCGACGACACCCGAACAUCGCUGGUGUACGGGUGGGGGACAAGGAAUUUAAGGUUUCAGCUUAUGCGGACGACGUCCUCCUGACCAUCACGAACCCUAUGGAAUCAAUGGCAGCAAUACAAGAAGUCAUAGCAGAGUACGGUACGUUAUCAGGUUAUAAGGCAAAUAUUCAGAAAUCCAGUGCCCUACCACUGUGCUUGUCGCAAGCUGAUACGGUUAGGUUACAGGAGAUUUACCAGAUCCGCAUGGAAACGGACUCUCUGAAGUAUCUGGGAAUUAAUAUGACAGCUGAUCCCGAACGCUUAUACUUAGCUAACUACACCCCUAUCUUCCGAGACCUAAUGAGAGACUUAGACAACUGGACUGAAAAACCCAUAUCCUGGGUCGGUAGGAUAAAUUCAGUGAAGAUGAACAUCCUUCCACGUAUAUUAUUCCUCUUCCAGGCGCUACCUAUAAGAGUAACGAAGAUGCAAUUGCUACCACUGCAAAGAUCGAUUGGCGAUUUUAUUUGGCAGAACAAGAGACAUCGAAUUGCUAAACAAGUGUUAUACCGUCGUAAGGACAGAGGGGGAUUGGGCCUUCCGAAUCUCUAUUUCUACUACUUAGCGGCUCAACUGGCGCAGAUAGCCAUGUGGCAUUCCACAAUGGAUGAGAGAAGGUGGGUGGAAAUAGAGUCUAUGAUGGUGGGUGUUGACGUACCCCAGUUUACGAUAUGGGUCUCGCCGGAACAUAGACCGGAGAUACGAAAAACAUGCCCGGCAAUCCUCAACUCGAUCCGAAUAUGGGACACUUGUAGCACAAAAUACGGACUGGCAUCAUCCCCUUCCCCAUUGACCCCUUUUUUAAGAAACAGGGAAUUCCCACCUGGUAUGGCCCCCAGAGAUUUCAGGAACAUCGAAAGGACUGGGCUACAAUGGAUUCAUCAAUUAUAUCACAAUGGAGAGGUAGUACAAUUUGCAGAUCUUCAAGCAGGAAACCACCUAACCCCUGCGGAUUUCUUUAGGUAUGUUCAAAUACGUGACUUCGCCAAAAAGCCACAUAUCAAAUCGUCUGCCUCCGGGAAGCCCACUUUUUAUGAGAGGAUUUGCUCGGAGGGGGUAACCCCCAAGGGGUUGAUUACUCUCUUAUACGCACACCUUAGCGGAGAAAAUAAAGAAUGGGGGAAAUUAACUUACAUUGACCAAUGGGAGAAUGAUCUCGGGGAGAUUUUGGAAGGGGUCGAGUGGCAGGAGAUAUGGGACGCAAGCGCUAGGGUCUCCAUUUGUGUCACCCUUCAGGAGCAGGCAUGGAAAACUAUGUUCAGAUGGUAUACUACCCCAGUCAAACUUCAUAGAAUGCACAAACGGGAGACAGAUGAUUGUUGGCGAGGAUGUGGAGCACGAGGGACCUAUAUUCAUAUGUGGUGGGGGUGUCCAAGGCUACUAGGUUUCUGGAAGUCUGUUGAAGACCUGUUGAGACAGACGUUUGAUAGACCCCUGAAAAUGUUGUUGAAUAGAUCAAUUGAUGGAUGGACCAAAAGGGAGCAGAAGUUGGUACACAAAAUCACACUGUGUGCACGCAGAGCAAUAGCGUCAGCAUGGCUUACAUUAGAGGGCCCGGAUUUUGCGGGGGUUAUAUCUAGAAUUAAAGAAUGUAGAGUGAUGGACGAUCUAACAGCAAGGGUGAGAGGUAAUGUAUCGACGUUCCAUAAAAUUUGGGAACCUUGGGACAAUAGUGUAGUUGGCUCGAGAGGAGAGUGAGAGCCUCCCCUCGCCCAAGUAUGAUUCGUAACGGAAAUCAUCACUGCUAGCGGGGUCUUCUGUGCCAGCGGGGUUGCUGCUUUUUGACCCUUCCCCGUUUGCCCCCCCCCCCUCCUUUUCUCCCUCCUCUAAACCUCCCUCUAAUUUACUGCACACUCUUUCCUAUCUAUCUCUUUUUUUCCCUCUUUUCUUUCCUUUUUCUCUGCUUUUGUUUUUAAUUUUUUUUUUUCCAGGCUAGGUCAUACGGUGGGAGGAAAAUGUAACAAUGACACAACACUGAUUAGCGCAUCUGUUUGAUUGCUGUCAUUUGUACCUACUUGUAUCAUGAUCUGCAUAUAUCCUCUCUAUAGAUGGCAAACGCCUACCGUACAAUGAGAAAUGGGUUGGCAUUAAUAGAGCGGAGUGGUUCUUGAUUACUCCUAUCUGGCAUAGCAGUUAUUUAGCUUAUACAUAGGCCCAGCUGGGAUCACAUGCCUCUUAUAGAUAAGGAGCUCAUAGACUACAAGAUAUCUACUUAACCGGCAGACGCCAACAGUAUGGCAAGGUUGGAGUUUAUUCAGUGUGACCAAAAGGAAUUGUACUUUAAUUGACUUAUUUAUCAGCCUUAACAGGGAUCGGGCAAAAGGUUUUUUUUCUUUUUUUCUGUGAAUAUAUUGUUUAUAAUUGCAUAAAAAUAAAAAAUCCUCAGUAGACGGCAAGUGCCGAUGGCUCAAUUAUGAAUGGGCAUAUACUAUAAUUGUCAAGCUGUAUUAUGUAUACUAUUAUUAUUACAAUGGCUUUUGCAUAAGACCAAAGUCGUUAAUAACUUGCUAUGUCUAUUGAGUAAAAAUAAAGAAUUAAAAAAAAAAAAAAGAACACUAUAAAGUUUUAUUAAAUUUUGAAAAUUUAAAAAAAAUAAAAAAAAAUGUGCAAUACCUUGGGUUGUCUUCUUUUGCAAAUGGUAUGCCAUCAUGGGGGUAAUUCUCAUUCCUGAGCUAUCAUAUACUCUCAAAGGCAACAUAACCAAUCUGGCAAAUUUCAAUUUCAAUUUGAAAAAACAGAAAUAUUAGUGUUUCAAGACAGUAAAACAUGUCACAAUGAUGAUAUUGUUAGUGAACGUUAUUGUUUUCCUUUUUAUACGCACAAAUGGCACUUUCAAUGAUGAUAUCUUUGUUGUUAUAUGUUUUACUGUUUUGAAACACUAAUAUUUGUAUUCAACAAAGUCUCCAGAGUAAAACAGUGCCCCCCAUGUAUGGGUUUUAGGGUGUCUUGGAAAGUUACAGGGUUAAAUAUAGUGCUAGCAAAUUUUAUUUUCUGGACUUUCUGCCUGGGUUGUCAGACAGGUCCCUCAUAUUGUAAUCAAUAAAAAUAUGUAAUUAUGUAAAAAUAUUACAUAAACAUGGACGUAGAAUUUAAAUAUAUAUACAUAUUUAUAUAUAUAUGAAGUCUACGUGUACAUUUAUGAAGUUAUGUAAUUAUGUAUAUGGAUAUAUUUAUAUUUUUUAUUAUUUUUAUAUAUACUAUAUAUAUAUAUAUAUAAUUUCAUUCUAAGUUUAUUUUGAUAUGAAUAUAUAUACUCAUAUCUGUGAUGGACCGCCUAGUACUCUGGCCAAGUGCCUCCUCCAAUCGAUGCUCCUAGUGCUCAUCGAGGAAUUCCAGCACUCCACCAGACACCAUAAGCAGUGCAGACCCCACUUCCAGCAAUAAAGCUGCGCCGGGGUCUCGCCGUCCUUCACCCACUCUGGAACCAAGACCGGGAUACAGCUUCCAGUGGGCAGACCUCUCCUACUCCCAGAGAGCAUAGUAGAAACAGCUCUUAAAAGAGCUUAGUGAUUAUAAUCCCAGGAGAGUAUAGUGAUAUAGCAAUCCCCAUGGUAGAUGCAGCCUUUUCCCCCACAGGUGAGACGAGGCUCUAUGUUGAGGGUAAAACAGGAAUUCAAUUUUAAUGGAGGCACACUGGCCUUUUAUGCAGGUUUCCCAACAAAGGUGACGCCCAGGUGGACCUUGCUGGGCACAGGGACACAAAGUGUACAAGCCAAUAGAAACAAUGUGACAAUGAAUGACACUCCCACAUACAGUACACAAACACUCCCCUCUGCCUGUGAUAUAAUUAAGGCAGAUAAUGCAUUAACUUAAUUAUCCCCAGGCAGAAAAAAAACACAUUUUUAUAAAGUCCAGUAAGUACCCCAAAACACAACAUAUCCCCAUAGUUACAUCCCCUGAUAGCCCUGAUCUGGGUGAACAACAUAUCAAAAAAUCACCCAGAUCAGUUCAGGGGUUCAGGAAUUUCCUGGAAGUCAUAGUUUUGACCGACUGUGCAUGUGGUCCUAUGCCCAAAACAGUUCCAGGGAAACAGGGCCAGCGGUAGUUCUCUCUUUCUGGAGUACAAAAGUACUUACAUUACAUGAAUGGAGCCUUUUAAAGUGGAUUGGGCAAGGUAUAUUGCAGGGCCCAUAGUCACAGGGUAGGAGGCAAGCAAACAGGCCCCUCCCAAAAACAGUGGCGAGGUCAUUUUCGCCACAAUAUCAAAAUACAGUUAGAAUGAAAUUACAUAUAUAUUUUUUUUUAAAUCAUUUAUUUAUUUAUUUUUAUUAUUUAUAUUUUAUUAUAUAUAUAUUUAUAUAUAAUAUAUGAAGUUAAUAUAUAUAUAUAUAUAUAUAUAUAUAUAUAUAUAUAUUUAUAUAUAUGUGUGUAUAUAUAUAUAUAUAUGUAUAUGUGUGUGUUAUUUAAUACUGUGAAUUUUUAUAUUAAUAUAUGUACAGGGAGUGCAGAAUUAUUAGGCAAAUGAGUAUUUUGACCACAUCAUCCUCUUUAUGCAUGUUGUCUUACUCCAAGCUGUAUAGGCUCGAAAGCCUACUACCAAUUAAGCAUAUUAGGUGAUGUGCAUCUCUGUAAUGAGAAGGGGUGUGGUCUAAUGACAUCAACACCCUAUAUCAGGUGUGCAUAAUUAUUAGGCAACUUCCUUUCCUUUGGCAAAAUGGGUCAAAAGAAGGACUUGACAGGCUCAGAAAAGUCAAUAAUAGUGAGAUAUCUUGCAGAGGGAUGCAGCACUCUUAAAAUUGCAAAGCUUCUGAAGCGUGAUCAUCGAACAAUCAAGCGUUUCAUUCAAAAUAGUCAACAGGGUCGCAAGAAGCGUGUGGAAAAACCAAGGCGCAAAAUAACUGCCCAUGAACUGAGAAAAGUCAAGCGUGCAGCUGCCACGAUGCCACUUGCCACCAGUUUGGCCAUAUUUCAGAGCUGCAACAUCACUGGAGUGCCCAAAAGCACAAGGUGUGCAAUACUCAGAAACAUGGCCAAGGUAAGAAAGGCUGAAAGACGACCACCACUGAACAAGACACACAAGCUGAAACGUCAAGACUGGGCCAAGAAAUAUCUCAAGACUGAUUUUUCUAAGGUUUUAUGGACUGAUGAAAUGAGAGUGAGUCUUGAUGGGCCAGAUGGAUGGGCCCGUGGCUGGAUUGGUAAAGGUCAGACGCCAGCAAGGUGGAGGUGGAGUACUGGUUUGGGCUGGUAUCAUCAAAGAUUAGCUUGUGGGGCCUUUUCGGGUUGAGGAUGGAGUCAAGCUCAACUCCCAGUCCUACUGCCAGUUCCUGGAAGACACCUUCUUCAAGCAGUGGUACAGGAAGAAGUCUGCAUCCUUCAAGAAAAACAUGAUUUUCAUGCAGGACAAUGCUCCAUCACACGCGUCCAAGUACUCCACAGCGUGGCUGGCAAGAAAGGGUAUAAAAGAAGAAAAUCUAAUGACAUGGCCUCCUUGUUCACCUGAUCUGAACCCCAUUGAGAACCUGUGGUCCAUCAUCAAAUGUGAGAUUUACAAGGAGGGAAAACAGUACACCUCUCUGAACAGUGUCUGGGAGGCUGUGGUUGCUGCUGCACGCAAUGUUGAUGGUGAACAGAUCAAAACACUGACAGAAUCCAUGGAUGGCAGGCUUUUGAGUGUCCUUGCAAAGAAAGGUGGCUAUAUUGGUCACUGAUUUGUUUUUGUUUUGUUUUUGAAUGUCAGAAAUGUAUAUUUGUGAAUGUUGAGAUGUUAUAUUGGUUUCACUGGUAAUAAUAAAUAAUUGAAAUGGGUAUAUAUUUGUUUUUUGUUAAGUUGCCUAAUAAUUAUGCACAGUAAUAGUCACCUGCACACACAGAUAUCCCCCUAACAUAGCUAUAACUAAAAACAAACUAAAAACUACUUCCAAAAAUAUUCAGCUUUGAUAUUAAUGAGUUUUUUGGGUUCAUUGAGAACAUGGUUGUUGUUCAAUAAUAAAAUUAAUCAUCAAAAAUACAACUUGCCUAAUAAUUCUGCACUCCCUGUAUAUUAAUAAAAAAAAUACACUUAUCAUGACAUUAUAUAUAUUGAAGGCUUGGCCUGAAGUUGUGGGAGGGGCUUAUGGACCAUCAAUACAAACUGCCUAAACUCUAAACAAGUUGGUCCUGGUCUAGUGUGGCCCACGCAAGUAUAUAUUUUACCUCACUCUAGUAAACAGCCGCCUCAUUAGAAGCUCCUGGGGCACUGCCGCGUCCAGCCCAGCCACGGCUUCUAUAACUGUUGGUUUUUCAACAAGGCCGUAAGUUUGUUUGUUCAGCCAUUUGAAUAUGGCAAAUUUUACUAGUGAAGCAAAUUCAGCCUAUUUCAAUCGUACAUAACAUGCCUCAUUCUCCUUACUGUAUUUGGCAGUGAUGCCUCAUUCUGCUUGCUGUAUUUUGGCAGCAAUGCCUCAUUCUGCUUACUGUAUUUUGCCCUCACUAGGCCAUAUCGACUUUUAUCACCCUGCAAUUGUUUCACUCUACAUUUCAUGCACUUUUUGAGUCUUCACUGUUUAGUAAUAAUGUGGCCAGGUGUUUUGCCACUGACUGUCUAAAUUUAUGUCAGGCCCAAAAUUGGGCCUAUACAUUUGGUAAAAUAUAAACUUGUAUAUACAUUCUCUGUACACAUAAAUGUAAAAUCCCUUAUUUUCUGAAAGGAGAAUAUCUUCUAAAUGUCUUAAGUCUUCUUACUAAAUGACCUCAAAUUCAUAAAACGGUAUCAUAUGCAUUUCAGUUAGUCACCCUACAUUUUAAUGUUUGUCUGCCCUCUGGGUAUUCAGGUACUCAUUGGGCCAACCUUGUUUGGUAAUUCACUGUUUAGUAGAUAUGCCCCAAAUGACAGCAUGUGCACAUUUAAUUAUGUAAUUUUCAUUGGGGUAUAAUCUUAAACAGCUAGCUAAACUUGCAGUUCUCUUGUCUACUGCUUUUGCAUUCCCUCACUUUCUAACAAUACACAGACUUUCUUUGUACGGUCUACAUGCAUUAGGAACAUCAUUCAGUCAUGUUCAGUUUAAGCAAUGAAGUUUUAUAUCUCAUGCUAAUAUCACUGAGAUAUUCUAGGAUUAUUCUAGCAUUUUCUGUUGCUUUCAACCCUAAUCUUCAAUGCCAGCUGUGUAUGCAUAAGUAUUUAUCAUCCUCCUAAGCAUUCCAGGUGUAGGUCUUUUUAAUGUAUGUCUUAUAUCUCCUGUCUUUUCCUAUGUAUUGUGUACGACCAUCAUAGUCUCUAGCCUGUUCAGCCACUGUGGCAUUCUAGAGGUUCCCGUUUUGAUUCUGUCUUCCAACACCUCGUCUUUUGGGCUCAGUGCAAAUGUAUUAUAUGAUGUUUUUUAAGUGUUUAUAUACAGUUUCUGUUCUUUUCACCAUUUCAUAAACUAGAUGAUUAUUUGUAACUAUCGGGUUCUUUAUUAUCUCAUCACCAACAUGUCUUAGCUACAUACACAAACUCCACAACCAUUCUCCGAUUCACAUCCUACCUUCACCCGCAUUAAUCCCAACACAGUCUGCACAACCACCCUGAAACUCGGGAUACAAAUCAGGAUACACAUAUUUCCUACUCCUGGCAUCACUCUGCCUUUACAAUGUGUGUUCAUAUGCCCUGUAAUGGGCAACCUGCCACAGGCUUAUUCUGCACCUCGUUUGGGCAUUUCAUUGGAAACAUUUAUAGAUUUUGGAAGAAUAUAAUGUCUUGUUUUAGGUUCUGGGUAGUACAUUUAUAGGCACCUAGUAUAUGGAUAUCAUUUUUUUACAGUUAUGUAGCAGUAAUAUUUCCUCGGUCUGAUUAGCAUAAUGCCACAAACAGGUAUUACCUUCGAUGUGGCAUUUUAGAUGAGUUACGAUAGACGAUACGCCUUGGGACACAUUGCCUAUAUUUACAUGUGCAUUUCUGCAGUCUAGGGCUUUGCUUCCAAACAUAUUUAUGUGUCUUUUCUAAUCUUAUUUUGAGAUUUCCCUAAAUAUGUUUGCAUGGUUUAACACUACAGUUCCUGUCUGCGGAUAUUUGGUCCUGUGGCUUUCCGGGACGCCAUGGGGCCUGUACAUGGGGGAUACAGUGGUACUCACAAUGUCUUGCUAACAUCCAUUUCCUUAUGUCUUAUCAAAUCAUAUUAUUUUACAGGUUAUCAAUUCGGAGCAUCAUUUGCUUUUCAGACCUCGCACCCAUUUGUCAGUUACGGUUCUUUUCAUAGGUUAUAGAACUCUCCUUCCCAUCUCUGCCUCCUUUAGGGGGUACUCAAGAUUUCAGUUACAGGUUACAACCAUACCAUACAGAACUACACAAACUAUUAUAUAAAUUCAAGUAAGUUUUUAGCCACAAUGGCUCCCCCGCAAUAUAGACCUUUUCAGUGUGUAGGUUUUACUGGCUUAUAGGGAUCUAGGUGACCAAUAGAUGUUAAGUUUCUGGCAUCUCUGCCUUGGAGUUGGUGGUUCCGCAAGGCCAACACCCAUCCUCCACACAUGAGGUAUUACGCACCCUGGGCCAAAACAUAGUUACCCACCUCACACAGUGACAUAGAGAGGGCCUCACUUGUCACACCCAAUCUAUCUCAUGAUUUAACUAUCACCAAGAGGCCAACACCCCGCCACAACAUUAGGUGGCCAUGAAUCCCCUCAUGCCAAAGCAUAGAUAGAGCCUCUCAAGCCACUUGGCAGCUAGCAGGGCCUCACCUGUCACCUACCUAGUGAAUUGCUUCGUCACUUGGCACUAGCUAGCCAGCCAGUAAAACGAUCCUGAUCCAAGCUAAAUAUUAAUAUAUUGCAGUAUGUCUCAGAUCCCUGUAAGAAGGUGAUGACAUGUCAAUCCCCAGUACUCCAGUCUGGUCCACUACACCUAUACGAAAAGGUGACACCUAUCCGGUUCCAUCAGGUCAUGGACCAUUCCUUGUAUUGUGGCUGAGCAACACAGAUGCAACUUUCCUUUCCCAGCAACCGCCGGGAAAGCGGAACUGUUCAGGCUCAUGAGUACCAAUAUGGACAAUGCUGAUGCUGGAGUAGGCAUGAGUUGCUCAAGCAACACUAACCUCCAUGCAACGUUCUCAGCACUUGUGUCCUCUAAGGUGUAAAUAAAUGAGAGACUGUAAGACUAGAAAUACGUUGUCGAACCAUGCCAUCAACUGGAUGCUGACCCUCACAGGGUCCUCUGUAUGCAUAUGAUCAUAACACAAUUCAAUAUUGAGCAUGUGCGCCUGUACGUUCAGAUAUCCCACGGGAUAUUGACUUUCUGUCAUGUUAUUCGACUUUCUGUCUGAAACUUUUUACACCAAUAGGUGAAUUAGGAUAUAGAUAAGUUGUGAUGCCACACCUAUUAGACAUAUUGUGACAUCAUUAUUAUACUAAAACAUGUCAUCUUUAAGUUGAGCCAGCCCUACCUUGUACUCAUAGAAAUCGCCAUGGCAGGCCUGCCACGGCUGAUUUAAUCAGUUUCUACUAAGUGUAUGUUUGUUCUUUCAGGGCGAAUUUCACUACUAUCAUAUUUAGCAUUUCAUUAAUAUGUAGCUUCACAGUGGUGCCUUCUUCAGCUUCCGGUAUACGUCCCCUUACUGGAACAUAUCUACAGUUGCAAGAAAAAGUAUGUGAAUCCUUUGGAAUGAUAUGGAUUUAUGAACAAAUUGGUCAUAAAAUGCGAUAUGAUCAUCAUCUAAGUCACAACAAUAGACAAUCACAGUCUGCAUAAACUAAUAACACACAAAGAAUGAAAUGUUGCCAUGUUUUUAUUGAACACACCAUGUAAACAUUCACAGUGCAGGUGGAAAAAGUAUGUGAACCCUUGGAUUUAAUAACUGGUCAAACCUCCUUUGGCAGUAAUAACUUCAACCAAACGUUUCCUGUAGUUGCAGAUCAGUUGUGCACAACGGUCAGGAGUAAUUCUUGACCAUUCCUCUUUACAGAACUGUUUCAGUUCAGCAAUAUUCUUGGGAUGUCUGGUGUGAAUCGCUUUCUUGAGGUCAUGCCACAGCAUCUCAAUAGGGUUGAAGUCAGGACAUAUUUUCUUCUGUUGUUUAAGACAUUCUGUUGUUGAUUUACUUCUAUGCUUUGGGUCAUUGUCCUGUUGCAACACCCAUCUUCUGUUGAGCUUCAGCUGGUAGACAGAUGGCCUUAAGUUCUCCUGCAAAAUGUCUUGAUAAACUUGGGAAUUCAUUUUUCCUUCGAUGAUAGCAAUCCAUGCGGGCCCUGACGCAGCAAAGCAGCCCCAAACCAUGAUGCCCCCACCACCAUACUUCACAGUUGGGAUGAGGUUUUUUUCGCCACACAUAGUGUUGUGUGUUUCUUCCAAACAACUCAACUUUGGUUUCAUCUGUCCACAGAAUAUUUUGCCAGUACUGUUGUGGAACAUCCAGGUGCUCUUGAGCAAACUGUAAACGUGCAGCAAUGUUUUGUUUGGACAGCAGUGGCUUCCUCUGUGGUAUCCUCCCAUGAAAUCCAUUCUUGUUUAGUGUUUUACGUAUUGUAGAUUGUAGAUGUUAGCAUUUGCCAGUGACUUUUAUAAGUCUUUAGCUGACACUCUAGGAUUCUUCUUCACCUCAGUCUGUGCUGUGCUCUUGCAGUCAUCUUUACAGGACGGCCACUCCUAGGGAGAGUAGCAGCAGUGCUGAACUUUCUCCAUUUAUAGACAAUUUGUCUUACCGUGGACUGAUGAACAGCAAGGCUUUUGGAGAUACUUUUAUAACCUUUUCCAGCUUUAUGCAAGUCAACAAUUCUUAAUCGUAGGUCUUCUGAGAGCUCUUUUGUGCGAGGCAUCAUUCACAUCAGGCAAUGCUUCUUGUGAAAAGCAAACCCAGAACUGGUGUGUGUUUGUUAUAGGGCAGGGCAGCUGUAACCAACACCUCCAAUCUCAUCUCAUUGAUUAGACUCCAGUUGGCUGACAUCUCACUCCAAUUAGCUCUUGGAGAUGUCAUUAGUAUAGGGGUUCACAUACUUUUUCCACCUGCACUGUGAAUGUUUACAUGGUGUGUUCAAUAAAAACAUGGCAACAUUUCAUUAGUUUAAGCAGACUGUGAGUGUCUAUUGUUAUGACUUAGAUGAUGAUCAGAUCACAUUUUAUGACCAAUUUGUGCAGAAAUCCAUAUCAUUCCAAAGGGUUCACAUACUUUUUUUUGCAACUGUACUUCUAUUAUAUGUCUUGGGCCCCUACAUGGCUAAGUGUCGCUAUUGAUUGAAUCAAUCAUGUCAAGCCCAACUUGGGCCUACACAUAUGGUUCACAAAUAUAAACUAACUUGUAUAUACAUUCACUGUAGUUACAUUAACUACAACACUCAUGGGACUCAUUAGCUAACAAAGGUUUACUUUGGUUUAGUUAUACUAAUUACGGGUUGUUGGUUGGCUUCUCAUACACUUGUUAGCUUGAAUUGUCCACCGUUAUGGUCCUUGUAGAUACUUUUCAUCGUAUAUUCUUGUUGAUACUGAUACUAGUUACCUAUGCAAAUCUUGGUUUUCUUCAGCAUUGAUACUUUUCCGGUUCUCAACCCUUUCUACAUUAUUAUUUCCCCUAUAUAAGUUGGUUUGUCAACUUGGCCCUCACUAUAUUAAUCACUUAUCUACGUUCAUCACUACGUUCAGCUAUCCCAUUAUUUUCAAGCAACAGGGGCUUAUACAUGUGACAGGUUCACGAUUCACUUACUUUCCAGAGUUUCUGCAUUAUUAGAAUUUUGCUAUAUGCGUUAAUGCUAUUAAUUUAAGUUUGAUGUCAUAUACUGGUAUUUUCAUAUUCAUGCCACCUGGUUUAGUCUAAGUCGCUUGUGUUACCCCUCAAUUGUUUGCAAGGUUUAUAUUGGUUGUCACUUACAUGUUUACAACAAUUUCCUUAUCCCUUGUAGGGCUCACGUGUCUUGCACAUUCAACUAUUUCAAUGUACACAGUAUUACUCAUCCAGGUUCUAAGGUAUUUCAAGUUUUGCCCUUAGUGGUCUCCCAGCAAUUGCUGUCACCAAGACUUUCCAUUACUAUUCACAUCCAAGGUAUGUGGUCCUUCAGUACAUAAUGUUGGUUAUUAUGUCUCUGGUUGUGUUCACCACUUUUUUUGCCACCUUCAGUUUAGGCUAUCUCACUAUACCAUCAAGUUACGCCUGACUGGCAUCCAACAUCACGUUUCUCUACUUUCCAACAAAGUCAGUUUCCUUUCAUCCUAUCCAAUAAGACUAUACUUAGGGGUAUCCAAAUAUGUCUAAUUUGCUAGAUUCAGCCCCUUUCAUACCCCUCACAAACUCUGAAACCGCUAUUUACCUGGCCUUUUAUGGCUUCCUGAGGCCACGAGAAUUCACCAUCAGUGGCCAACACAAUGCACAAGGUUGUUUCACUGGCAAGCUCUCUAACUACUCACACUUUCAAACAUGUGGUUGAUUUCUUAAUUAGUGGUUUUACACAGGAUUUUUAUACUGGUAUUAUUCACUUACUGACAGGUAUUGUAGAAUGCAGCAACAUCCAAUCAGCUAUGGCUGGUACUAAUGCAGUUGAUACACUUUUACAUCUAGAACUGGGAGAAGGGUUUUUAUAAGGAUCUUUUAAGGAACCUCCAUUCUCUAACUGGAGGACUAACACUACAGGUUUGGUCACAGGGAAAUGGGCUGGCUGCUCAGUUUGAUGUCUGUCCGACAACCAAGCUACUUACCAUAUCAUUCACAAAAGGCGUUCAUCCUCACUGGCUAUCAUGAGGUUCUUUAGGAGACUGACUUGGCUAGCUGCCUGUAAUCACUUUUAUUUGGUUUGUUGUCAUGUCCCUGCAGUUUUCAAUACCGUAACUGACCAAUUGUCUUGCUUUCAAUUCCAGGCAUUCCGAGAAACCCUACCUACUGCCUCGCAUCUACCCACAGCCGCCCCUCCAUUCCAAGAACUAGUCAUGGAUUAAGUGACUUACUGGUUCAUAGUCAAGUUUUAACUAGCAUGGCCCUAUCAACUAACACUCGUCAAUCAUACAAUAGAGCUUUCAUUUUAUAUAAGAAAUUCAUGUCUGAACAUAAUGAGGAUAACAUGUUUGACAUUACAUCUCUGGUAGCAUUCGCUACUUUUCGCCAACUUAAGUUAGGACUAUCCCAUGAUACUAUCAAGCUAUACCUAACUGGCAUUCAGCACCAUAUGCAUUCAACUCACCCAGACAGUACCAGUUUCCUUUCCUCAUAUCCAAUCAAGACCAUACUCAAAGGCAUAAACAAAGCCAGCGGUCCUACUCCUCAUGAAAGGUUGCCCAUUGAUAAACAGUUGUUUAAAGAUAUGUCGGACUUGCUAGUGUCAGCCCCUUUUGAAUCCCUCACAAACACAGUCAUUAAAAUUGCCAUGUACCUGGCUUUUGUGGAUUCCUUAGACCACAAGAGUUUACCAUCAAUAGUAAACUUAACUCCCAAGAUUGCCUUAUGCGUUCCUAUCUAAUAAAACACCAGGGUCACAACACACUGUCUCUACCGUUACCAAAACUAGUCAACUGGCAUAACUAGUCCAGAUCCCAUACUACCCCAUACAUAAUAGAUGGUGCCCAGUGUAGGUUUUUGAUUCUUAUCUCCUAGCACUACCUACACUAUCAGCACAACCAAUGCUGUCACUUCACGGGGCGGUUCUAACUACCUCAAAAUUCAUGCUGUACGUACGAUUAUUACUUACAAGAGUAAGUGGGUUGAAUCCUAGUAAAUAUUCAGGUCUCUCUUUCAGGAUAGGGGCUGCUUCUACCGCAUCCAGCCAGAACAUACCAGUCCAAGUUAUCAAGUCUCUGGGUCGUUGAAGUCCUCCGCUUUUUCAGUAUACAUAUCUCAACCGGUACAGGAAAUGCAGAAGGCUUUUAUAAAAAUGUC
This 25374-nucleotide long non-coding RNA is filed under the name Pelobates cultripes (western spadefoot toad). The record is from RNAcentral. Lineage: Eukaryota; Metazoa; Chordata; Amphibia; Anura; Pelobatidae.